CUGUGGCUUGGUCUGUCCAAAUACAGAGUGUGGAAAACCAGUUGAUGUAAGCGGCACUCAUUCUUUUGGUUACGCGUGCGCAAUUAAUUUCCUUCUAUAUUACAUAUAAAAUAGUUAAAGUUCGAUAUCAAUUGUUACCAUGAUCAAGCAAUGACCCACUAUAUCAUCAUACAUCAUUAGAAAGAUAAAUGCAUAAUCGUUUGAAAAAAUGGAUGUCAUUAAAUUAUAUACGUUGUAACUCAAAAUAUUCACGUUAGAAUAGGCACACCGGUUUUGACAGCUGUGCAGGCGACCAUUUUAGGCUCAAAUAGUAUGACCUACUUUCAAAGCCGGGAAUCAUCAACAGAAAAAGUAGAGCACAAAAAUGGCGGUUUUUCUUAAUGCUUACAAAUAUACCUACAAAUUGAUGCCAAAACCAACCAUUUGCAAUGUAUUUUACAAAUCCUAUGCAGCAUGCACUGAACAAUGUGUGCUAAAUAUCAACAGGUGUUCCGGUUUGGGGUUAUGUGACCUUUUGGUACGUCCGAAUUUCAGAGUGUGGAAUACCAGUUGAUAUAAGCGGCACUCAGUCGCUUGGUCCGUCCAAAUUUCAGAGUGUGGAUUAUCAAUUGAUGUAAGCGGCACGCUGUGACUUGGUACGUCCUAGUUUCAGAGUUUUGAACACCGGUUGAUGCAAGCGGCUAUUUGGCGCUUGGUCCGUCCAUAUUUUAGAGUGAGGAAUACCAAUGGAUGUAGGCGACAAUCUCUGGCUUGGUCCGUCAUAAUUCCUGAGUGGUGAAAAAAAAAUGUUGAAAGCGACACUCUGUGGGAUGGUCAUUCCUAGUUUCGACGAUUCAAAGGGAAUACUAUUCACAUCAACAACAAAAAGUAGAUUCACAACAUUCAUGUACUUAAAUAUGACGUGACAUGACUCUUUUUUGUCUAUAUAGACGUUUGACAACAUUUACUUAAUACAAGCGCGGUUAAAUGUUAAGUAGAAGCGGACAUGUUCGAUAACUUGAAUAUUAAAAUGCCGGUAAAAUCAGUUUGUUUUGUCUGUUUUGCAUGUUGGAAGAUAUAUGUUGAAAUAUAAUUGAAAUGAAUAUAAGCACUUACUGAAUUUAAUAUACUAUUUUUUACUUCACCUCUCUCACGCACACACACCUUCACUUCACAUAAAUCCGUCUUUAAAGCAGGCAAUGUGUGUACAGACUGUCCCCUAAUGGAUAUCUAGUGGCGGUUGGAUGUUUAAGAUUAAGUUAGCUUACUGCAGGUGGCGGAUGGAUGUUUAAGAUUUAGUUACCUUACUGCAGGUGGCGGAUGGAUGUUUAAGAUUUAGUUACCUUACUGCAGGUGGCGGAUGGAUGUUUAAUAUUUAAUUUGCUUACUGCAGGCGGCGGAUGGAUGUUUAAGAUUUUGUUUGCUUACUGCAGGUGGCGGAUGGAUGUUUAAGAUUAAGUUACCUUACUGCAGGUGGCGGUUGGAUGUUUAAGAAUUAGUUAGCUUAUGCAGGUGGCGGAUGGAUGUUUAAGAUAAAGUUACCUUACUGCAGGUGGCGGAUGGAUGUUUAAGAUUUAGUUACCUUACUGCAGGUGGCGGAUGGAUGUUUAAGAUUUAGUUAUCUUACUGCAGUUGGCGGAUGGAUGUUUAAUAUUUAAUUAGCUUACUGCAUGCGGCGGAUAGAUGUUUAAGAUUUAGUUUGCUUACUGCAGGUUGCUGAUGGAUGUUUAAGAUUUAGUUACCUUACUGCAGGUGGCGGUUGGAUGUUUAAGAUUUAGUUAGCUUACUGCAGGUGGCGGAUGGAUGUUUAAGAUUUAGUUACCUUACUGCAGGUGGUGGAUGGAUGUUUAAGAUUUAGUUUGCUUACUGCAGGUGGCGGAUGGAUGUUUAAGAUUUAGUUUGCUUACUGCAUGUGGCGGAUGGAUGUUUAAUAUUUAGUUAGCUUACUGCAGGCGGCGGAUGGAUGUUUAAGAUUUAGUUUGCUAACUGCAGGUGGCGGAUGGAUGUUUAAGAUUCAGUUUGCUUACUGCAGGUGUCGGAUGGAUGUUUAAGAUUUAGUUAGCUUACUGCAGGUGGUGGAUGUAUGUUUAAGAUUUAGUUAGCUUACUGCAGGUGGCGGAUGGAUGUUUAAGAUUUAGUUUGCUUACUGCAGGCGGCGGAUGGAUGUUUAAGAUUUAGUUUGCUUACUGCAGGUGGCGGAUGG
Molecule: long non-coding RNA, 2182 nt
Organism: Dreissena polymorpha
Lineage: Eukaryota; Metazoa; Mollusca; Bivalvia; Myida; Dreissenidae
Exons: 3
Source: RefSeq, a predicted model, not a curated record